This 497-nucleotide ribosomal RNA is filed under the name uncultured bacterium. RNAcentral describes it as "partial 16S ribosomal RNA". It matches the Rfam family "Bacterial small subunit ribosomal RNA", at positions 28 to 507 of the family's 1533-position model. The record is from RNAcentral.
GACGAACGCUGGCGGCGUGCCUAAUACAUGCAAGUUGAGCGAUGAAGAUUGGUGCUUGCCCCAAUUUGAAGAGCAGCGAACGGGUGAGUAACGCGUGGGGAAUCUGCCUCUGAGCGGGGGACAACAUUUGGAAACGAAUGCUAAUACCGCAUAACAACUUUAAACAUAAGUUUUAAGUUUGAAAGAUGCAAUUGCAUCACUCAAAGAUGAUCCCGCGUUGUAUUAGCUAGUUGGUGAGGUAAAGGCUCACCAAGGCGAUGAUACAUAGCCGACCUGAGAGGGUGAUCGGCCACAUUGGGACUGAGACACGGCCCAAACUCCUACGGGAGGCAGCAGGAGGGAAUCUUAGGCAAUGGACGAAAGUCUGACCGAGCAACGCCGCGGGAGUGAAGAAGGUUGUCGGAUCGCAAAAAUCGGUUGGUAGAGAAGAACGUUGGUGAGAGUGGAAAGCUCAUCAAGUGACGGUAACUACACAGAAAGGGACGGCUAACUACGUG